RNAcentral lists this long non-coding RNA (281 nucleotides) under Homo sapiens (human). Its description in RNAcentral is "HSALNT0248946". Lineage: Eukaryota; Metazoa; Chordata; Mammalia; Primates; Hominidae. The record is from RNAcentral.
AGGGCGCUUCUGCUUUGAACCCAAGUCCAUGUGUUUGUAAGUUCGUGAUCUUGACCACCUGAAGUCAAGUUCCUGAUCUUGGUCUUAGUGCCCAGUGCUCUAGUCUAGCAGCAGUCGCUCCCCCUCCACACACACACACUCAUUCCCUUCCUCACUCACUGUUUGCAUAUGUGACGUGCACUCAGACCUUUAGUUGCUCAGGCACAUAAGACAGGCUGUGGGUUAGGUGCCAAAGACAUGUGCUAGAUAUUUCGGUGCUGCAAUGUAGGUGUAGGUAAAGC